Molecule: long non-coding RNA, 3125 nt
Filed under: Sus scrofa (pig)
Lineage: Eukaryota; Metazoa; Chordata; Mammalia; Artiodactyla; Suidae
Description: lncRNA (ENSSSCG00000059471.1)
Source: RNAcentral
AAAAAAACUGGGGACGUUGACCGCGCCUACGUGGCUGCUCGCCCCUUGGGUACUAGAGCUGGAAGGUGGGCGUGAGUGUGAGCGCUGCUGAGCCCGCCGUUCUCCCACGUCGUGCACGUGUUAGGUGUUGAGACUGACAGAUUUGAAGCAAUUUGGCUGAGUUCAUGUGGGAACUGAAACUCUGGAAGGAGAAUGUGGGUCACUGUCACACUCCUUCCUCUGGACACUGUGCCUCGCAGCCAUGUGGAAUUUCUGCGGAGAAAUGACUGCCAGAGGGGCUCACAUGUAGAUCUUCAGUGAAGUUUUACUGCAGUGGGGAUCAGGACUGGGUUUGGCCCUAAGAUUUCGGGUAGCCUGGACCUGAGUCACAAGUGGCUUCAGGAAAGGACUUGGUGUGACUGCCCAAGGAUAAGGAAACAUUAACAUCCACACUUGACCUCCAGGAGGAUCCCCUUUGGAACUGUGUGGGAUUCUUUUUGAGAUUCGAACCACAGUAUUCCCAGAGUUUUGGCAACAGGAAUUGGGUGUGAACCUUAGAGAGUGUGUCCUCAGGUAAUGUGCCUGAAGUGAGGGCAGGUGUGACCCUGGAAUAGUAACUCCUAACUUCACAUGGGGUUCCAGGAAAGCCCUGCUGGGCCCCGAGUCUUUGGAGGUGGAAAAUACUGUUGCUACACACCUAAAAAUCAAGGUUUGGGGGAGUUUAAAUUUCCUUUUAGCUCAUAAGAGAUUUUGUUUUCUACCUACACUUGACCACAGCUUGUGGCAAUGCCAGAUCCUUAACCCACUGAGCAAGGCCAGGGAUUGGACCCACAUACUCAUGGAUCCUAAUGGGGUUCUUAAACCUGCUGAGCCACAACAGGAAUUCCAAAUUCACAUUUUUAACUGUAGCUCUAUGAGUUUUCAUAAAUGCAUACUGAUGCCACCAUAAUUAAAAUACAAAACACUCCAUCACCCAAAGAAAACACCCUCCUAAUGUCCAUUUGUAGACAGACUUUCUGCCCACUCAGCCCAUUCUGUUCUAGUUCCCUAUACCUUGGUUUUUCCCAGAAUGUUAUAUAACGUAGACUUUGUAAACUUGACACUGUAGUUUGAAAGUUGUGUAAUUACACUUGUCCUACAGAGCCGUGAGAUUAAAAGCUUUUGUUUGGUGCGGGUUUUGUUUUUGUUUGUUUUGCUUUUCAGGGCCACACCUGAAUCAUAUGUAAGUUCCCAGGCUAGGGGUCAAAUCAAAGCUGCAUCUGCUGGCCUAUGGCACAGCCACAGCAACAUGGUAUCUAAGCUACAUGUGAGACCUACACCACAGCUUAGAGCGAGGUGAGAUCUUUAACCCUCUGAGCAAGGCCAGGGAUUGAACUCGCAUCCUCAGGGGUACUAGUUAGGUUCUUAAACCACUGAGCCGCAACGGUAACUCCAUAGAUUUAAAAGUUUGGACAAGGAGUACCAUCACAGCUCAGUGGAAACUAAUCUGACUAGUAUCCAUGAGGAUGUAGGUUCCAUCCCUUGUCUUGCUCAGUGGGUUAAGGAUUUGGCGUUGCUGUGGCUGUGGAGCAGGCUGGCAGGUACAGCUCCGAUUCGACCCCUAGCCUGGGAACCUCCAUAUGCCACAUGUGUAGCCCUAAAAAGACAAAAAAUAAAAAGUUUUGACAGUGCCCAGUACAGCACAUGUUAGGUCUUCAAAAGAGAUUCCAUUAUUAUUAUAGGGUGCAAAAGCUUAAGCAGGACUCCACUCCUGUACUCUUCGUCAUUCAUCAAUGGGAAGGACGUUGGGGAGGGAUGAUCAUAUAAGGUACUAAUGAUUAUGAAGUGACACUCAUCUCUGCAGUGCUCUGCAAACAAGAGUUAACAUGAGAAAAUGGUCAGACUGGGUUUCAUCUGCCCUUUAAUUCAACAUGAAGCUGUUUUACAUUUUUCUCUUUCCUAAUUGUGUUGAAAGUGUAAGCAUACGGAAACAAUACCUAUGGAAAGCAAAAGGGGGCACUGUGGCUUUUGUGGAUCAUUAAAACAAAAACUUAUACUUUCUCCGCCUAUAAUAUAAAAGAGCAUGAAAAGAUUUCCCCUAUUUGAGGGUAUCUAACAAUUGGGCUGUCACUCAAAACGGUAUCCCCCAUCAGCAGGUCACUUCAGUUAUUCCUGGGAUAGUUUCUCCUCUUAUGAUCCAUAGCUCUUCUCCUAGGUUCUAGUAGGAAAUCAUAGUGGACUUGCAUAGAUGUCACUCUGCUCAUUGGAAGACUCAUGGGGGGAGUUAGCAACCUGCAGGUAACCAUAAAGCUUCCUCAAGCUGUGAGGAACUCUUUUUUGCAGAACAAAUUCUGUCAGUCGAUGUGUAGGAGCAGCAAAAUGAUAAUGCCAAAUGUUUAAGUUCUUUCACAAGGAUGUUGGACACAAACACCUACACGCUGUGGUUCAAAUCAGUAUGAAGCCUCUGGUCCCAGAUGCCAAUGUACAAUCUCACAAACACAUAUACCCUAAAAACUUGAACCACUACAAAAAUGAGACUGAACUAUGUGUAUAUCUUCUUUCUAUGGAAAAUACUGUUAAAUCCAUGAAGAGAGGAUUAUCUCUGUGUAACUGUCCACAAUUACCAACACCUUUGAACAGUCCCAGAAAUAGUGUUUAAGGCAUAUUAGAUGCUGUAAAUAUAUACAAAUUAAUGCUGAUAUCCUCAUUUACUGAGGCCGUUACUUUCAUUCAUUCUGUAUUCCUUACUCCUCCCUUAUCAUGGUAUAUAUUUUACUUAAUUCUGCUUUGGUAUUAUUCAAUAAAGUUUGUUUUCUCAAUAGGAUCUUUUUAUAUCCUUUGCUUGACUCAUUUGGUAAUUAAACUGAUAAAACUAUUAUUUUUUACUGUUAUGAAUAAUUACAUUGAUAAAAUCAUAACAAUAUGAGAAAUAAAAUUUACUAGAAAGAAAAAUGCCUAAACCUGUAUGCACCCGGUAAUACUGACUCAAAAUGUAUAAUGCUUAAAUUUACAAAGUUACAAAGUUGAUCUGACACCUCAUAGUUGCAGUAUUUUAAUAUUUUUUCAGCAAAGGAAAAACAGAGACUGAUAUUUGUUAGCAUGUAACUUAUUUGAAAACAUAGACUAUUUCUCAUCUGCUCUUUAAUAAAACACCAAGGUGUUACAUU